Molecule: ribosomal RNA, 217 nt
Filed under: uncultured bacterium
Lineage: Bacteria
Description: partial 16S ribosomal RNA
Rfam family: Bacterial small subunit ribosomal RNA
Source: RNAcentral
ACGCUCGACACCUACGGCGGCAGCAGUGAGGAAUAUUGGUCAAUGGGCGCUAGCCUGAACCAGCCAAGUAGCGUGAAGGAUGAAGGCUCUAUGGGUCGUAAACUUCUUUUAUAUAAGAAUAAAGUGCAGUAUGUAUACUGUUUUGUAUGUAUUAUAUGAAUAAGGAUCGGCUAACUCCGUGCAAGCAGCCGCGGUAAUCUGAGCGGGCUGGCAAGGC